Long non-coding RNA from Myiozetetes cayanensis, 900 nucleotides. RefSeq lists it as uncharacterized. Lineage: Eukaryota; Metazoa; Chordata; Aves; Passeriformes; Tyrannidae. The record is from RefSeq and is a predicted model, not a curated record. The transcript is spliced from 3 exons.
AUCAGUUCAUCCUGUGGGAAUGGAGGUCAGGGUCAGUUCAUCCUGUGGGAAUGGAGGUCAGGGUCAGUUUAUCCCAUGGGAAUGGGGGUCAGGGUCAGUUCUCCAGGAACUACUCCGAUGUGAGUCCUCCUCCAUGGGGUCAGUCCCUCAGGAACUGCUCCAGGUCCGUAUUCCAUGGGGUCAGUCCCUCAGGAACUGCUCCAGGUCCGUAUUCCAUGGGGUCAGUCCCUCAGGAACUGCUCCAGGUCCAUAUUCCAUGGGGUCAGUCCCUCGGGAACUGCUCCAGGUGCCUUUCCAUGGGGUCAGUCCCUCAGGAACUGCUCCAGGUCUGUAUUCCAUGGGGUCAGUCCCUCAGGAACUGCUCCAGGUCCAUAUUCCAUGGGUUCAGUCCCUCAGGAACUGCCCCAAGUGGGUCCUUCCCACCACCCUGGAGUCACCUCACCCUCAGAAAACCCCCAGGCUCUUUGAUAUUUUUUACACCUUAAACCCACAACUCUUCAUUUUACCCCUGAAAGGCAAAUCCAGCAGGUCUGCACCCCCCAGCUAUCCCAAUUUCCCGGUUCUGCUGGCGAUUCCAGCCUCUCAAUCCAUGGCAAUUCCCUCCCUGACGUGCCUGAACCCUCCCGGCCGGAGGAUCCCUCGGCUCCUUCCCAUCCUGGGGUUGCAACAUUCCCUCUGGCUGGGGUUGGAAUGGCUUCAAACCCUGGAAACCCUUUCCCCCACCCUGCUCUGUCACACCCCGUGCCCAGAGCCACUCCUGGCACUGCUGGUGGCUUCCCUGGGUGUCCUCCCUGGGACGUUCCCGCUGCUCCGUGCGGCCUUUCCCGGUUCCCUGUCCCGGUUCCCGGCGUGUCCUGGCGCUGCCGCCGCCCCCUCCCGGCUCCUGGAGAGGCUGUUUGU